GCCUGGUGGUUCCCAUAGCCAGCUCCAAAGUGCUGAGCUGUGGGUUUUAAUGAACAGGCGCAUAUUGAUUCUGCGAUUUAAUGCAUGGAAACUGUCUCUGUUUCAGAUUUCCAUAGCCCGGUUGCAGAUACAUAA
This is a small nucleolar RNA of Synchiropus splendidus (mandarinfish), 135 nucleotides long. RefSeq annotates it as small nucleolar RNA SNORA84. Lineage: Eukaryota; Metazoa; Chordata; Actinopteri; Syngnathiformes; Callionymidae. The transcript has a single exon. The record is from RefSeq and is a predicted model, not a curated record.